This 491-nucleotide ribosomal RNA is filed under the name uncultured bacterium. Its description in RNAcentral is "partial 16S ribosomal RNA". It matches the Rfam family "Bacterial small subunit ribosomal RNA", at positions 29 to 507 of the family's 1533-position model. The record is from RNAcentral.
GUGAACGCUGGCGGUAGGCCUAACACAUGCAAGUCGAACGGCAGCACAGUAAGAGCUUGCUCUUACGGGUGGCGAGUGGCGGACGGGUGAGGAAUACAUCGGAAUCUACUUUUUCGUGGGGGAUAACGUAGGGAAACUUACGCUAAUACCGCAUACGACCUACGGGUGAAAGCAGGGGAUCUUCGGACCUUGCGCGAUUGAAUGAGCCGAUGUCGGAUUAGCUAGUUGGCGGGGUAAAGGCCCACCAAGGCGACGAUCCGUAGCCGGUCUGAGAGGAUGAUCAGCCACACUGGAACUGAGACACGGUCCAGACUCCUACGGGAGGCAGCAGUGGGGAAUAUUGGACAAUGGGCGCAAGCCUGAUCCAGCCAUACCGCGUGGGUGAAGAAGGCCUUCGGGUUGUAAAGCCCUUUUGUUGGGAAAGAAAAGCAGCAGGUUAAUACCCCGCUGUUCUGACGGUACCCAAAGAAUAAGCACCGGCUAACUUCGUG